GGGGGGUGCGAGCGUUAAUCGGAAUAACUGGGCGUAAAGGGCACGCAGGCGGUGACUUAAGUGAGAUGUGAAAGCCCCGGGCUUAACCUGGGAAUUGCAUUUCAUACUGGGUCGCUAGAGUACUUUAGGGAGGGGUAGAAUUCCACGUGUAGCGGUGAAAUGCGUAGAGAUGUGGAGGAAUACCGAAGGCGAAGGCAGCCCCUUGGGAAUGUACUGACGCUCAUGUGCGAAAGCGUGGGGAGCAAACAGGAUUAGAUACCCUGGUAGUCCACGCUGUAAACGAUGUCGAUUUGGGGAUUGGGCUUUAAGCUUGGUGCCCGUAGCUAACGUGAUAAAUCGACCGCCUGGGGAGUACGGCCGCAAGGUUAAAACUCAAAG
This 378-nucleotide ribosomal RNA is filed under the name uncultured bacterium. Its description in RNAcentral is "bacterial SSU rRNA". It matches the Rfam family "Bacterial small subunit ribosomal RNA", at positions 527 to 906 of the family's 1533-position model. The record is from RNAcentral.